RNAcentral lists this ribosomal RNA (20 nucleotides) under Xylaria psidii. RNAcentral describes it as "partial 18S ribosomal RNA". The record is from RNAcentral. Lineage: Eukaryota; Fungi; Ascomycota; Sordariomycetes; Xylariales; Xylariaceae.
UCUCGUUGGUGACCAGCGGA